Long non-coding RNA from Penaeus chinensis, 514 nucleotides. RefSeq lists it as uncharacterized. The record is from RefSeq and is a predicted model, not a curated record. NCBI's taxonomy places the organism in Eukaryota, Metazoa, Arthropoda, Malacostraca, Decapoda, Penaeidae. The transcript is spliced from 2 exons.
CCGCCUCUGCCCCGUCUCCUCUUCCUCCUCUUAGUCCCCCCCCCCUUUCAUUACUAUCACUUCUUCCUCCUCGUGGUACUCUUUCCCCUCCUCCACCUGUGUGUUGCCUCCAGGAGAGCGCCGAGCGGGAAGGGAGAGCUGUUGACUCUCGCUGCGGGAACAGGUGAGUGUUGGCGAGAGACCAUGUUGUUCGCUGUUAUUUCCGAGAUGUUCACGCAAGGAUCCCCACAUGUUCAAGGUAGGUGCUGUGUUUUUUUUUUCUGAACACGUUACGUAAGUUCAGCAACGCUAUGAGCCGGAGUUCUUUUUCUAAACAGGUAAUCAUGUUGUAUAUAUGUACACCUUUCGAGGCCACACAAACCCGGAUGGGAUUAUAGCAGCGUUGAUCCAAGGAAGAAGAACAGGACAGGAAGAAGGAAAGAGAGAAAAAUAUAAGAUUUAUAUCUUAAGCACCCGUAAUUUGCAUAAUAAAGGAGGAAUGGAACCUCCGGAAAACGUAGUAAAAAAAGAAAAA